UACGUAGGGUGCAAGCGUUAUCCGGAUUCACUGGGUUUAAAGGGUGCGUAGGCGGACAGGUAAGUCAGUGGUGAAAUCUCCGAGCUUAACUCGGAAACUGCCUUUGAUACUCUCUGUCUUGAAUAUGAUGGAGGUAAGCGGAAUAUGUCAUGUAGCGGUGAAAUGCUUAGAGAUGACAUAGAACACCUAUUGCGAAGGCAGCUUACUACGCCUAUAUUGACGCUGAGGCACGAAAGCGUGGGGAUCAAACAGG
This 253-nucleotide ribosomal RNA is filed under the name uncultured bacterium. RNAcentral's name for it is "partial 16S ribosomal RNA". It matches the Rfam family "Bacterial small subunit ribosomal RNA", at positions 524 to 776 of the family's 1533-position model. The record is from RNAcentral.